Molecule: ribosomal RNA, 224 nt
Filed under: Klebsiella aerogenes
Lineage: Bacteria; Pseudomonadati; Pseudomonadota; Gammaproteobacteria; Enterobacterales; Enterobacteriaceae
Description: partial 23S ribosomal RNA
Rfam family: Bacterial large subunit ribosomal RNA
Source: RNAcentral
UGAUAGUCCCGUACACCAAAAUGCACAGGUUGUGAACUCGAAGAGUAGGGCGGGACACGUGGUAUCCUGUCUGAAUAUGGGGGGACCAUCCUCCAAGGCUAAAUACUCCUGACUGACCGAUAGUGAACCAGUACCGUGAGGGAAAGGCGAAAAGAACCCCGGCGAGGGGAGUGAAAAAGAACCUGAAACCGUGUACGUACAAGCAGUGGGAGCACCUUCGGGUG